AUGCAGAGCCGGGCGCGUGUGGACAUGCCUGUCUUCGUCUGUCCGCGGUGCCGGGCGGGCGUUGAUCGAAGGGUUUCUCAGACACCGAGGAACCAGAAUCGUCCGUUCUACGUGUGCAGCGAGAAUGGGGUGACAUGCUUCUUUCUUUGGGUCGAUGCUCUGGCCAAGACUCUGAUGAAUGAACUGCAAGAAGAGCAUGAAGAAUGGUUGCGCAUGCUGCCACGAACGGCAGUGGCCACACCACGAGCUCCGGAAGAUGGAUGGCGAAGCACGCACUGA
RNAcentral lists this ribosomal RNA (279 nucleotides) under Triticum aestivum (bread wheat). Its description in RNAcentral is "partial small subunit ribosomal RNA". Lineage: Eukaryota; Viridiplantae; Streptophyta; Magnoliopsida; Poales; Poaceae. The record is from RNAcentral.